This 1541-nucleotide ribosomal RNA is filed under the name Citromicrobium sp. Its description in RNAcentral is "bacterial SSU rRNA". It matches the Rfam family "Bacterial small subunit ribosomal RNA". Lineage: Bacteria; Pseudomonadati; Pseudomonadota; Alphaproteobacteria; Sphingomonadales; Sphingomonadaceae. The record is from RNAcentral.
UUAAAGUGAAGAGUUUGAUCAUGGCUCAGAUUGAACGUUGGCGGCAGGUCUCAUACAUGCAAGUCGAACGAGAAAGGUCCUUCGGGGCCGAGUAAAGUGGCGGACGGGUGAGUAACGCGUAGGAAUCUACCUAGUAGUGGGGGACAACCCGAGGAAACUCGGGCUAAUACCGCAUACGACCUAGGGGUGAAAGCGGGGGAUUUUCGAACCUCGCGCUAUUAGAGGAGCCUGCGUUGGAUUAGCUUGUUGGUGGGGUAACGGCCUACCAAGGCGACGAUCCAUAGCUGGUCUGAGAGGACGAUCAGCCACACUGGAACUGAGACACGGUCCAGACUCCUACGGGAGGCAGCAGUAAAGAAUAUUGCGCAAUGGGCGAAAGCCUGACGCAGCCAUGCCGCGUGUGUGAAGAAGGCCUUAGGGUUGUAAAGCACUUUCAGUGGCGAAGAAAAGUGAGGGGUUAAUACCCCCGCUCUUUGACGUUAACCACAGAAGAAGGUCCGGCUAACUCCGUGCCAGCAGCCGCGGUAAUACGGAGGGACCGAACGUUAAUCGGAAUUACUGGGCGUAAAGCGCACGUAGGCGGUUCGUUAAGUGGGAUGUGAAAGCCCUAGGCUCAACCUAGGAAUUGCAUCUCAAACUGACGGGCUAGAGUGUAGUAGAGGGAGGUGGAAUUUCCUGUGUAGCGGUGAAAUGCGUAGAUAUAGGAAGGAACACCAGUGGCGAAGGCGGCCUCCUGGACUAACACUGACGCUGAGGUGCGAAAGCGUGGGGAGCAAACAGGAUUAGAUACCCUGGUAGUCCACGCCGUAAACGAUGAGAACUAGCCGUUGGGCCCCAUUGGGGCUUGGUGGCGCAGCUAACGCGUUAAGUUCUCCGCCUGGGGAGUACGGCCGCAAGGCUAAAACUCAAAUGAAUUGACGGGGGCCCGCACAAGCGGUGGAGCAUGUUCUUUAAUUCGAUGCAACGCGAAGAACCUUACCACCCCUUGACAUCCACGGAACUUUCUAGAGAUAGAUUGGUGCCUUCGGGAACCGUGUGACAGGUGCUGCAUGGCUGUCGUCAGCUCGUGUCGUGAGAUGUUGGGUUAAGUCCCGUAACGAGCGCAACCCCUAUCCUUAUUUGCCAGCGGAUUAUGCCGGGAACUCUAAGGAGACUGCCGGUGACAAACCGGAGGAAGGCGGGGAUGAGGUCAAGUCAUCAUGGCCCUCAUGGGGUGGGCUAGAAACGUGCUACAAUGGGAAGUACAAAGGGCUGCAAACCCGCGAGGGUAAGCGAAUCCCAAAAAACUUCUCGUAGUCCGGAUAGGAGUCUGCAACUCGACUCCUUGAAGUCGGAAUCGCUAGUAAUCGCGAAUCAGAAUGUCGCGGUGAAUACGUUCCCGGGCCUUGUACACACCGCCCGUCACAUCAUGGAAGUGGGUUGCACCAGAAGUAGCUAGUCUAACCUUCGGGAGGACGGCUACCACGGUGUGGUUCAUGACUAGGAUGAAGUCGUAACAAGGUAGCCGUAGGGGAACCUGCGGCUGGAUCACCUCCUUAACC